This 287-nucleotide long non-coding RNA is filed under the name Brachypodium distachyon (stiff brome). RNAcentral describes it as "long non-coding RNA (BDIS_LNC005265)". Lineage: Eukaryota; Viridiplantae; Streptophyta; Magnoliopsida; Poales; Poaceae. The record is from RNAcentral.
UCAAAAUGCUCAGCAAUAUGCAAGCUAAAAAUGUUGUCCCGCGUCAAGGAUGUUUCAGCAAGAACAGAAGAUGCAGGUGAAAGAAAUUAAAUCAAAAUCUCUACAUCUAAUUUACUGCAAGUCCUCUGAUUCAUCAAAUUAUAUCAGAUCAAUCACUCAUCAUGUCUUAUUGGCAACCACCCCUUGCUCGGAAAACGGUACGGAUGGCCUCCAGGUAGUUCCGUCCGGGCCGUCCAUGAGGGCGAUUCCAAGAGCGGCUAACUCUUUCCUUAUCUCGUCGGACUUCU